RNAcentral lists this long non-coding RNA (427 nucleotides) under Piliocolobus tephrosceles (Ugandan red Colobus). RNAcentral's name for it is "lncRNA (ENSPTEG00000018091.1)". Lineage: Eukaryota; Metazoa; Chordata; Mammalia; Primates; Cercopithecidae. The record is from RNAcentral.
CUCCAUUCUCUGCUCACCCCUCUCCCAGGACACUGCGCAGGCGACACGACGCCCCGCCUGACGCCCCGCCUUUCUCCCCGCCCUGCCGCGCCCCAGGGACGCAGCGCGCACAGGGACGCAGCGCGCACGCAACCGCGUUUCCGGCGCUACCUGGCUGCUGUGCCCCGCAGCUUGUGGCGCUUGUGGACCGCGUGGGCCUGCGGGAGAUCGGUGCGGCUCCUUGGGGAAUUCUUGUUCUCUUUUCUGGACUGAGAAGAGAAGAAUGGAGAAGAGCCCCUUCCCAUUGUGAGUGGACAGUAAAUGGGUAUGGAGUAGCCAGAAGCUUCUGGAAACCAGAGUUCCUUUCCUCAGCUGAAAAGAACCCUAAGAGUAGACUGCCUGGGAUUGCGUGGGGGAUGGGAGGAUCACUGGACCUGUGGGCCAGAGA